GACGAACGCUGGCGGCGUGCUUAACACAUGCAAGUCGAACGGAAAGGCCCUGCUUUUGUGGGGUGCUCGAGUGGCGAACGGGUGAGUAACACGUGAGUAACCUGCCCUUGACUUUGGGAUAACUUCAGGAAACUGGGGCUAAUACCGGAUAGGAGCUCCUGCUGCAUGGUGGGGGUUGGAAAGUUUCGGCGGUUGGGGAUGGACUCGCGGCUUAUCAGCUUGUUGGUGGGGUAGUGGCUUACCAAGGCUUUGACGGGUAGCCGGCCUGAGAGGGUGACCGGCCACAUUGGGACUGAGAUACGGACCAGACUCCUACGGGAGGCAGAAGUGGGGAAUAUUGCACAAUGGGCGGAAGCCUGAUGCAGCAACGCCGCGUGCGGGAUGACGGCCUUCGGGUUGUAAACCGCUUUCGCCUGUGACGAAGCGUGAGUGACGGUAAUGGGUAAAGAAGCACCGGCUAACUACGUG
RNAcentral lists this ribosomal RNA (468 nucleotides) under uncultured bacterium. RNAcentral's name for it is "partial 16S ribosomal RNA". It matches the Rfam family "Bacterial small subunit ribosomal RNA", at positions 28 to 507 of the family's 1533-position model. The record is from RNAcentral.